GAGUCCUUGCUGACGCUAUGCGGCGCCUCUUCCUGGAGCCCCCAGAAAAUUGCCCCAGAUAUGGCUUUUUAAACAGAGUCUCUGUUAUUCUGGCUUGUAGUUAUUUCUGCUUUGUCUCCCUUGUCACCACACACAUCUGCUUUUUGUCUGCCAGAAUUGUAUUAAUAGCCUUAGUUCACUGUUGGCCCUUACUCCUAUUAUCUUGCUAUUAUGGGUUUAUUCACUUUUGUAUACAUUUAUUUUCAUUCUAGUGAUAUUUUUUAAGAGCCAGGAGGCAUAUAAAUGUUCUCAGGCCACCAUCUUGAACCAAGAGGUAUCAGAACCAAGAAAAGUGUUAAAUGCUUAAUCGCCAGCAACACUACUCUUGUACUUUGGGACUUUUAUUAGAUAAAGUAACUGUUCCUUGAACACAAGCACUGCCAUACCAGAAAGUCGAUGUGAUCGCAGAAAGGGCGGCUAAGUGACUCACAGGUGAAAAGCUGUUACAGCGUGGAUCUGCUGGACAAAGGGAAGAUUCAUGUCCUGAGAGGGACGGAACCUGACGGCCCAAGAUUUCAUCACACUACUCAGAACUGCAGUUGCUGCUGUAAAUGGAUUCCAAAACCACUUUUAAUUGACCCACCCUACAUUGCCUCAGUUCAUCUCUCAUUCUGCACCAGCUGCCUGUUGUCCCAAAGUUUCAAUGCUAAUUCCACUACAGCAUGCUCCUGGAAACUUAUGAUAAGGAAUCUGGAACCAUCUGGUUUUAGUUGACUUUUUAAAAAUACGUUUUAGUGUCACAGUUGUAUUAUUAAACAUAAUUAUGCCUGGUACUU
This 815-nucleotide long non-coding RNA is filed under the name Homo sapiens (human). Its description in RNAcentral is "novel transcript". The record is from RNAcentral. Lineage: Eukaryota; Metazoa; Chordata; Mammalia; Primates; Hominidae.